This is a long non-coding RNA of Odontomachus brunneus, 1257 nucleotides long. RefSeq lists it as uncharacterized. The transcript has 3 exons. The record is from RefSeq and is a predicted model, not a curated record. Lineage: Eukaryota; Metazoa; Arthropoda; Insecta; Hymenoptera; Formicidae.
GAACGGGGUUAGCUCGAAGAAACGAAAGCAGAAUGUGGCUAUCCUAAUCGGCGCUUUGAAGGAUCCUUUGAGGCCACAUAACCGUACAGCACAAAUGUCCGAAAGACAUCUUAUCCAGAGAUGUCCGAAGGAUAUCCUAUUGCUUUUUGACAUAGGAUGUCUCCGAGACGCAUCCUACAAAUUUGUACUUAUUUGUACGAAUAUAAGAGUAAUAUUUUAUGGGAUCUGGAGAAUCCCGUUGAGGAUAAGAUUACAUUUUUUCUCGGUGUACAGAAAUUUUGCAGUAAAAUCUGAAAGAUGCGAACGCUUGUGAGAAGUCGUAAAAGAGCACAUGACGAUGUGCUGCACACACCGGAAAAUGCAAAUGGUUAACAAGAGCCGCGAAACACUCGGACGCGAGAGCGUGAAAUUUCUUACCACGACCGCGCGCUCUCUGUACCCUCCCCACCCUCUCUCUCUCUCUUUCUCUCUCGUUAACCGAGAUAUCGCGUCGGACACCUCACUCGGAAAUUAUAUGACGCGAAAUUUUUUAUCCGCUCUCUAAUUUUUCCCGGAAAUCUCAUUUCAAGAGUGAACGAAACAAUUCUCCAGGCGCAUCGAAAUUCGCCGGGCAUUAAAACUUGCUCAUUUUCCACGGUGGUUCCAUUUAUUUGCGUCCAAUUUAUUCCGCGGCGCCGGUGGCGAGCGUACCUUAAGUCGAUCCCCGCGCCGGUGGAAGAGCAUUGGGCCGCCAUUGAUACCGAUCAUCGAGAACUUCGACAGCGUUUUUCUCUUCUGGGUUUGUCCGGAAAUAAGAAACACGUCUCAUUUUCGAUUCCCCCGGGGAGGAAUACCCCGGCAACGCCCGCGGCACGACGUCUGGCGUGAAAAGAAAGAGAAGAAAAAACGAAAAGGACACGGGAUAAGAGCGUUCCGCGUAAAUUCUUCAGCCACUCCGAUUGAAUUGAAGGCUGCGUUCGCCAUACAUGAUAGAACAUUCGAGCAAUAACGAAGAUCACGCGAAUGAAAGAAAGAGGUAGGACGCACGCCGGCGGAUAUUAUCUUCGCGGCGUACUUUUGACUAUUAGUUAAUUAAGGAACGGGAAGAUAAAUAAAAAAAGAGAGAGAUUAAUUAUCACUCUCUAUCUACGUCUCUCUCAACGAAUUUACACACAAACACACAUACCAAACGCGCAGAUGCGUCCUCCUUUUGGGAUUAAUUGUAACUAACCUAGCGUGCGCGAUUUUUUUGACCAGCACUCUUCGGAUUAGUUUACC